This 254-nucleotide ribosomal RNA is filed under the name uncultured bacterium. Its description in RNAcentral is "partial 16S ribosomal RNA". It matches the Rfam family "Bacterial small subunit ribosomal RNA", at positions 524 to 776 of the family's 1533-position model. The record is from RNAcentral.
CACGGGGGGGAGCAAGCGUUGUUCGGAAUCACUGGGCGUAAAGGGCGUGUAGGCGGUUAGGUAAGUGGGACGUGAAAUCCCUCGGCUCACCCGAGGACCUGCGUCCCAAACUGCUUAGCUUGAGUAUGGGAGAGGAUGAGGGAAUUCCUGGUGUAGCGGUGAAAUGCGUAGAUAUCAGGAGGAACACCGGUGGCGAAGGCGCUCAUCUGGCCCAAUACUGACGCUGAGGCGCGAAAGCUAGGGGAGCAAACGGG